UACGGGGGGGGGCAAGCGUUGUUCGGAAUUACUGGGCGUAAAGGGCUCGUAGGCGGCCAACUAAGUCAGACGUGAAAUCCCUCGGCUUAACCGGGGAACUGCGUCUGAUACUGGAUGGCUUGAGGUUGGGAGAGGGAUGCGGAAUUCCAGGUGUAGCGGUGAAAUGCGUAGAUAUCUGGAGGAACACCGGUGGCGAAGGCGGCAUCCUGGACCAACACUGACGCUGAGGAGCGAAAGCCAGGGGAGCAAACGGG
This 254-nucleotide ribosomal RNA is filed under the name uncultured bacterium. RNAcentral describes it as "partial 16S ribosomal RNA". It matches the Rfam family "Bacterial small subunit ribosomal RNA", at positions 524 to 776 of the family's 1533-position model. The record is from RNAcentral.